AUACAAGUCUGUCAUUAUUCCUAUUUUUGCCAUUGCCAUAAGUAUCUUCGUAAGUUUCAGUUUUGCUGCAAUGUAUGGAAUUGCUGUGGCUGCCCUUGGAAUGCUUAGUACUAUUGCUACUGGAUUGGCUAUUGAUGCCUAUGGACCUAUCAGUGACAAUGCUGGAGGCAUUGCUGAAAUGGCUGGAAUGAGCCAUCGUAUCCGCGAGAGAACUGAUGCACUGGAUGCUGCUGGCAACACAACUGCUGCCAUUGGCAAGGUAAUUUGAAGCUUUUAGAGUGGUUGCAUACAAUUCAGCCUAUAUUUUUGUUCAAAUGACUAUGGCGUUACAUCUAUGCUAAAAUAUAGAUUAGUAUCUAUAGCCAUGGUUAAAAAAUAUUCUAAUGUUAUUGAUUACUUCUUAUCCUCUGGUCAUUUUCAUCAUGAUUAUGAGCCCAAAGUUACACCUGAGUUGUGUUCUGUUCUUCCAUCACUAGGGAUUCGCCAUUGGAUCUGCUGCUCUGGUAUCUUUGGCCCUAUUCGGUGCCUUUGUCAGCAGAGCAGGAAUUUCAACUGUUGAUGUCUUGACUCCCAAGGUCUUUAUUGGACUCUUAGUUGGCGCCAUGCUCCCCUACUGGUUCUCUGCCAUGACCAUGAAGAGUGUAGGAAGUGCAGCUUUGAAGAUGGUUGAGGAAGUUCUCAGGCAGUUCAACACCAUUCCAGGACUCAUGGAGGGUCACGCCAAGCCUGAUUAUGCCACAUGCGUCAAGAUUUCCACUGAUGCAUCCAUCAAGGAUAUGAUUCCUCCAGGUGCCCUUGUCAUGCUUACACCACUCAUUGUCGGUACCUUCUUUGGUGUGGAAACUCUCUCAGGCGUUCUUGCAGGUGCUCUUGUUUCUGGUGUGCAGGUAAUAUCAGUUACUAAGACUGCAUUAUGUGAAGUUCAGUUGGAAGUAUUGUGUUCCAACAUUCCUGUCAAGUUUUCUGAAUCUUUGUUCUUUUGAAUUGUUUUUUCAGAUUGCAAUAUCAGCAUCAAACACGGGUGGUGCCUGGGAUAAUGCUAAGAAGUACAUUGAGGUAAAGAUUUUUGAACUGGAACAUUUUUGAGAGUGCUUUUUUCUUUUCUUUUUUUUUUCCUAUUAUGGAAUUGUCAUUGUGUUUCUUCAUUUGAUGAUGAAAUUCGCUGUCAAUUUCUUAUUUCAGGCCGGUGGAUCUGAGCAUGCUAGGACCUUGGGACCAAAGGACCAGCAUCUUCUUUUCCACUGUGUUCUCAUCUUCUCUUCUUUUGCCAAUGCAGGACCAUCUAAAGAUAGGUCCUCUAGCCACCCCCAGGAUAACCACCUCCUCGUCAUCAUUAACUUGCCACCGUGACCUUGGUUAGUCGCUCUGAUCUUAAUUUGUGUCGUGAUUGUAUAAUGUAUAACUGAUUUGUUCAUUCAAUAUUCAAUUUUUCAUAGAUAAGUAGUGUUAGAUUUUAAUCUAUGAAUUGAAGUCCUGAUAUUUUUGUACAAUUUGUUUACUUUCAUAACUUUGAGAUGAUGGUUAUACUGCUUUUUGUGGUAUUGAAAUCAUCCCUGCUUGUAUUUAUCUAGCUGUAGAAAUUCUGCGAAUUGAAUCACUUUUGCAUUGUUUGUGUAUUCUAUGAAUUGAAUUCUCCUAUGCUGAAUCAUCUUGUGCUGCCCUUGUUGUUGCUUCCAUUUCCUCAUUUGGAAUCGACCAUGACUUCACUGCCAUGUUGUAUCCCCUACUUGUCAGCUCUGUGGGCAUUCUCAUCUGUUUGAUUACUACUCUCUUUGCAACUGAUUUCUUUGAGAUCAAAGCCGUCAAGGAAAUUGAACCAGCAUUGAAAAAGCAGCUUAUCAUUUCUACAGCACUCAUGACUGUUGGAAUUGCAAUUAUUAGUUGGCUUGCUCUCCCAUCGACCUUCACUAUUUUCAACUUUGGAGCUCAGAAAGAAGUUAAGAGCUGGUACGUUAAGUUUGUUUUAAUGUUUUUUUAUGGGAAAAAAUUGUUUGUUGAAUUUCUUGGCCUGGUUUUGUAUAUACAUAGUAUUGCUUUAGAUUAUUCCAUUAAAACCUCGUGUCUCCGUUUCUUGAUUAUAUUCCCAUAUUUCAUUUAUUUUUGUUAUCUUGGAUUGUUGAUAACGUUUUUAAUAGAGUUGUUUUUACAUGGUUGACAUUUUCAGGCAGUUAUUCCUAUGUGUGGCCGUAGGACUCUGGGCUGGACUUAUUAUAGGGUUUGUCACGGAAUAUUAUACAAGCAAUGCUUACAGGUAGCUGAAUGCUGAGUUUCUGACGUGCCUUACUAUAUUUCAUUUAUAGAUAGAUGUGUAAUGCCCUUAACUUCCUUUUUGUGAUUGACUUUCAGCCCUGUACAAGAUGUUGCUGAUUCCUGCCGGACUGGAGCUGCAACCAAUGUCAUCUUUGGCCUUGCGCUAGGAUACAAGUCUGUCAUUAUUCCUAUUUUUGCCAUUGCCAUAAGUAUCUUCGUAAGUUUCAGUUUUGCUGCAAUGUAUGGAAUUGCUGUGGCUGCCCUUGGAAUGCUUAGUACUAUUGCUACUGGAUUGGCUAUUGAUGCCUAUGGACCUAUCAGUGACAAUGCUGGAGGCAUUGCUGAAAUGGCUGGAAUGAGCCAUCGUAUCCGCGAGAGAACUGAUGCACUUGAUGCUGCUGGCAACACAA
RNAcentral lists this long non-coding RNA (2660 nucleotides) under Arachis ipaensis. RNAcentral's name for it is "long non-coding RNA (AIPA_LNC002091)". Lineage: Eukaryota; Viridiplantae; Streptophyta; Magnoliopsida; Fabales; Fabaceae. The record is from RNAcentral.